RNAcentral lists this long non-coding RNA (750 nucleotides) under Triticum aestivum (bread wheat). Its description in RNAcentral is "long non-coding RNA (TAES_LNC000701)". The record is from RNAcentral. Lineage: Eukaryota; Viridiplantae; Streptophyta; Magnoliopsida; Poales; Poaceae.
GAUUGUCUGGUCAUCUUCCACAUCUCUCUCCGGCAUCAACAAACUUCCCAGAUUGAAGGAGCUCGAGUUCAACCUCAACGGUGUCGGUGACCAAGUCCCUGUUGAGAUGAGGGAGGCCAUUAAAAACCAUAAAAACAAGCCUAGUCUUAAACUUAAUGGGCCAGAAACUCAAGACAAAGCAAAAGGAGAUGAACAAGAGGAUGACGAUGAUGCUGCAACAUCCUCUUUCUGCUGGAAGAAACAGGUCUGACGCUGGAAGGGCCUCUCCGUUGAUCCCAUGGUGUGGUUUGCGUGUGCUAGUGUGGAUUGCACUCUGUUCUGCUUGCCUGUUGAUUUCAUUCUGCUGUGUGUUUAUGUUCUGCGUGCAUUACAACUGAAGUAUGUCCGUUUACUUGCUCUACAUGAGUGCCCUAGUGGCUCCGAUUGAGCAUAAACGGUUGUAUCUAUGCUUGGAUUUAAAUUCGUGUGGCUUUCCUCUGUAUCGAACAUCAUUUGCUUUUGUGUACAGUAUCAUGUAAUAAAGUGUGAAGUUUGUGCACACAUUUGACUUCUUAUUAAUGUACAGCGUGAUAUCACUAUGCUUUGGUUGGGUUUCUGCAACUCAAAGAUGAACUGGUGUGGUGUGUGUCAUGAUAUAGUUACCUGUAAUGUAGGCAUCCGUUUCUGCAAACCAGCUGAGCAGUUCUUGCAGUAAUGCCUGAUGAUGUACUUGAAGCAGAACUUUGUGCAGAUUAGGCAUGUGUAUGAUCC